This 229-nucleotide long non-coding RNA is filed under the name Capsicum annuum. Its description in RNAcentral is "long non-coding RNA (CANN_LNC018741)". Lineage: Eukaryota; Viridiplantae; Streptophyta; Magnoliopsida; Solanales; Solanaceae. The record is from RNAcentral.
UACCAGUAGGAGGCUCUUACGUUGAUCCAUCAAUAAAGCCAGACUUAUUUUUAGAAGUCAAGACUAUGAGAAUGGCUCUCUUCCAUCCCCCAAAACUCUUUCCAUCAAAAGCUAUAUUAACCAGCAACAUACCAGGAGAAUCAGAAGGCGAAAUGGAGAAAGGAUGAUAAGGUUUUAUGAGUUCAGUGGCUGCAUUAGUUCCAGUAACAAAGGGAAAUUGAGCCCCAGA